RNAcentral lists this transfer RNA (72 nucleotides) under Salmo salar (Atlantic salmon). It matches the Rfam family "tRNA". Rfam says of the family: Transfer RNA (tRNA) molecules are approximately 80 nucleotides in length. Lineage: Eukaryota; Metazoa; Chordata; Actinopteri; Salmoniformes; Salmonidae. The record is from Rfam by way of RNAcentral.
UCCCGUGUGGCUCAGUUGGUAGAGCAUGGUGUUUACAAUGCCAGGGUUGUGGGUUCGAUUCCCACGGGGGAA